UACGUAGGGUGCGAGCGUUGUCCGGAAUUAUUGGGCGUAAAGAGCUCGUAGGCGGCUUAGCAAGUCGGGUGUGAAGACUUCAGGCUCAACCUGGAGAUGCCACUCGAUACUGCUAUAGCUAGAGUCCGGUAGGGGAUCACGGAAUUCCUGGUGUAGCGGUGAAAUGCGCAGAUAUCAGGAGGAACACCGGUGGCGAAGGCGGUGGUCUGGGCCGGAACUGACGCUGAGGAGCGAAAGCGUGGGUAGCAAACAGG
Molecule: ribosomal RNA, 254 nt
Filed under: uncultured bacterium
Lineage: Bacteria
Description: partial 16S ribosomal RNA
Rfam family: Bacterial small subunit ribosomal RNA
Source: RNAcentral